RNAcentral lists this ribosomal RNA (253 nucleotides) under uncultured bacterium. RNAcentral's name for it is "partial 16S ribosomal RNA". It matches the Rfam family "Bacterial small subunit ribosomal RNA", at positions 524 to 776 of the family's 1533-position model. The record is from RNAcentral.
UACAGAGGUCUCAACCGUUGUUCGGAUUCAUUGGGCGUAAAGGGUGCGUAGGCGGUCUGGCAAGUCGGCUGUGAAAUCUCAGGGCUCAACCCUGAAACUGCAUUCGAUACUGCUAGGCUUGAGUACUGGAGGGGAGACUGGAAUUUACGGUGUAGCAGUGAAAUGCGUAGAUAUCGUAAGGAAGACCAGUGGCGAAGGCGAGUCUCUGGACAGUUACUGACGCUGAGGCACGAAGGCCAGGGGAGCAAACGGG